UACCAGCUCUCCGAGUGGUGUGGAUGUUUAUUGGGCCUAAAGCAUCCGUAGCUGGCUGGGCAAGUCCCCUGUUAAAUCCACAGAUUUAAUCGUUGGAGUGCGGGGGAUACUGCUCGGCUAGGGGACGGGAGAGGCAGACGGUAUUUUCGGGGUAGGGGUGAAAUCCUAUAAUCCCGAGAAGACCACCAGUGGCGAAGGCUGUCUGCUAGAACGUGCCCGACGGUGAGGGAUGAAAGCUGGGGGAGCGAACCGGAUUAGAUACCCGGGUAGUCCCAGCUGUAAACGAUGCAGGCUAGGUGUUUGGACGGCCACGUGCCGUUCUAGUGCCGCAGGGAAGCCGUUAAGCCUGCCGCCUGGGGAGUACGGCCGCAAGGCUGAAACUUAAGGAUUGGCGGGGAGCACCACAAGGGGUAAAGCUUGCGGUUU
RNAcentral lists this ribosomal RNA (426 nucleotides) under uncultured archaeon. RNAcentral describes it as "bacterial SSU rRNA". It matches the Rfam family "Archaeal small subunit ribosomal RNA", at positions 474 to 903 of the family's 1478-position model. The record is from RNAcentral.